Lotus japonicus is the source of this 800-nucleotide long non-coding RNA. RefSeq lists it as uncharacterized. The record is from RefSeq and is a predicted model, not a curated record. The transcript has 3 exons. Lineage: Eukaryota; Viridiplantae; Streptophyta; Magnoliopsida; Fabales; Fabaceae.
AAUCACAUUGAUUCUAAACGCGUUUUACAUCCUUUGCCGUUUCAACCUUCAUUCGCGUUUACGUCCUCUGCCGUUUCAACCUUCAAGAUCAUCUCUUCCGAUCUGUAUUAAUCGCAUUUCAUAGCCCUUCAAUCGCUUCUCUCUUCCCCUUUCGGUUCCUGUUUCGAAUCAGAUAUUGUUCUCUCAUCGCUCCUUCCUCUAUUCCCCUUCAAUCGAAUCUCUCAUGGCCCCUUCCAAUUCCCCUUGAUUCGCAUCUCUCUUCCCCUCUCGGUUCCUGUUUCGAAUCUGUGUAACUGAGAUGUUUAUGGGUGGCAUAGAAUUGAUGACAUGCAAUGUGUGUAAAUCGCCCCUCCCGGCUUCAUUCCUCUCAACGCCACAACGGCGACACCGCAGGCCGAUUCUCUACAUCAGGUACAAUACCUGAUGUUUCGUACAAACCCUAAAUCAGAUUCAGGCACAUGCUCUACAUUAUAUCCUCCAUCAAGGGAGAUUUUGUUCCUUUUUUUUUCCUUGGCUUUGCAGGAUAUGACCCGUGCGUUCUCUUACUGUAAUUCUGUAUGAAUCUUAUAUUUAGCUUAUGUUUCAUUUCUUGAGUAGAAAUUGAAAUUCGCCUCCUAUUCCUACGUUUCUCAUUCAGUUUUUCUCCUUAUAGUCUGUUCAAUUUCAUAUCUAAUCAGAAUGAAGGUGGGAAAUUGCAAUUUGAAAUAAAAAGUUAAAACAAAGUUAAUUAUCGGUAUCAAUUAGUAUCAAUAAGUUCAUAUUCAUAAUUCUAAGCGCCUAUAUAUAUUACUACUUCUGCA